This 471-nucleotide ribosomal RNA is filed under the name uncultured bacterium. RNAcentral's name for it is "partial 16S ribosomal RNA". It matches the Rfam family "Bacterial small subunit ribosomal RNA", at positions 28 to 506 of the family's 1533-position model. The record is from RNAcentral.
GACGAACGCUGGCGGCGUGCUUAACACAUGCAAGUCGAGCGGAAAGGCCCUUCGGGGUACUCGAGCGGCGAACGGGUGAGUAACACGUGAGUAAUCUGCCCUUGGCUUUGGGAUAACUACCGGAAACGGUGGCUAAUACCGGAUACGACAACCGUCUGCAUGGGCUGGUUGUGGAAAGUUUUUUCGGCCAGGGAUGUGCUCGCGGCCUAUCAGCUUGUUGGUGGGGUAAUGGCCUACCAAGGCUUCGACGGGUAGCCGGCCUGAGAGGGUGACCGGCCACACGGGGACGGGGCACCGGCCCGGACCCCUCAGGGGGGCAGCGGUGGGGAAAUGGGGAAAAGGGGGGGAAGCCGUGCCCAGCAACGCCGGGGGGGGGAUGCCGGCCUUCGGGUUGUAAACCUUUUUCAGUCCCGACGAGGCCCCGAUGAGGGGGGGGGCGGGAGGAACAAAAAAAGCCCCGGCCAACUACGU